RNAcentral lists this ribosomal RNA (449 nucleotides) under uncultured bacterium. RNAcentral describes it as "bacterial SSU rRNA". It matches the Rfam family "Bacterial small subunit ribosomal RNA", at positions 329 to 792 of the family's 1533-position model. The record is from RNAcentral.
UGCCAGACUCCUACGGGAGGCAGCAGUGGGGAAUAUUGGACAAUGGGGGGAACCCUGAUCCAGCGACGCCGCGUGAGUGAAGAAGUAUUUCGGUAUGUAAAGCUCUAUCAGCAGGGAAGAAAGAAAUGACGGUACCUGACUAAGAAGCCCCGGCUAACUACGUGCCAGCAGCCGCGGUAAUACGUAGGGGGCAAGCGUUAUCCGGAUUUACUGGGUGUAAAGGGAGCGUAGACGGCGAUGCAAGUCUGAAGUGAAAGGCGGGGGCCCAACCCCCGGACUGCUUUGGAAACUGUAUGGCUGGAGUGCGGGAGGGGCAGGCGGAAUUCCUGGUGUAGCGGUGAAAUGCGUAGAUAUCAGGAGGAACACCGGUGGCGAAGGCGGCCUGCUGGACUGCAACUGACGUUGAGGCCCGAAAGCGUGGGGAGCAAACAGGAUUAGAUACCCGGGUA